Long non-coding RNA from Notolabrus celidotus (New Zealand spotty), 640 nucleotides. RefSeq lists it as uncharacterized. The record is from RefSeq and is a predicted model, not a curated record. The transcript is spliced from 2 exons. Lineage: Eukaryota; Metazoa; Chordata; Actinopteri; Labriformes; Labridae.
CAUGUUUAGAGAGGACUGGUGAGAAGGGUUUGGCACAGCAGGAGAGCAUUACAGAGGAGUUUCACAGCAGAUGAAGGAUGGUCUGAUGCAAUAAAGUGUUUGAUACCUGCAGAGUUGAUCAGGAUUUUUACAUCCAGCAGGAUGGGGAAGGUCAGACGAUUUAUUGGAGGACAAUUAAGCAUUUUGUGCGUCAGGUCUCAGCUGCAGAAAUCCAGUUGACAAAGGGGAGAAGGAUGGGAUCUGUUUCAGGUCCAGGGCUGCGUUCAAAACACCAUUAAACUUUCAUCUCCAUGACCUUGAAUUCAACCAUGAAUUACAGAACCUCUCCUGCUGCAGACGUUUCAUUUCACCUCUAAAUGGAAACAGAUAUGUAUGCAGGUCUGUGAGGAAUUGUGAAAUAAGGGUCAUGAAUAAAAUAUAAGGAACCCAUGCAGCAAAAUGUGUGUUUGUUAUACAUGCAUGGAGAGAUAAUCACAAAAGCUUCUGCCUCAAAAACAUGAAAAUUCUGUCUCAUGAGGAAUUACCUUUUCGUUAUUUGAUACCUGGAUGUUUUAAUUUUGACCUUCCAAACAAUUUCAGAUGAAAAUAAGCUGCAUGGUAUCUCUGAUGUGAAUUUGAAAUAAACUGACAUUUAAAAAUA